UUCUCUUCGGAGAGCGAGUACAGCGGCGAACUGGUGAGUAACAGGUGGAUAACGUGCCCUGAAGUGGGGGACAACCCGGGGAAACUCGGGCUAAUACCGCAUAUUGUCAUGACGACUCUGGUCAGAUUGAUGAAAGACUUCGGUCGCUUCAGGAUCGGUCCGCCCCUGAUUAGCUUGAUGGUGAGGUAACGGCUCACCAUGGCGACAAUCAGUAGCUGGUCUGAGAGGAUGGUCAGCCACACUGGGACUGAGAUACGGCCCAGACUCCUACGGGGGGCAGCAGUCUAGAGGCUUCGGCAAUGGACGAAAGUCUGACCGAGCGACGCCGCGUGCGGGAUUGAAGGCCUUCGGGUCGUAAACCGCUGUCAGGUGGGAAGAAUGCCCAUAUGGUGAAUAUGGGAGUGACGGUACCACCAGAGGAAGCCCCGGCUAACUCCGUGCCAGCAGCCGCGGUAAUACGGAGGGGGCGAGCGUUAUUCGGAUUUACUGGGCGUAAAGGGUGCGUAGGCGGUUGUGCAAGACUGGUGUGAAAUCUUCACCGCUCAACGGGAAGAGGCCGCUGGAAACUGCACAACUUGAGUAUGGUAGAGGCAAUCGGAAUUCCUGGUGUAGCGGUGGAAUGUGUAGAUAUCAGGAAGAACAUCUGUGGCGAAGGCGGAUUGCUGGGCCAUUACUGACGCUGAGGCACGAAAGCAUGGGUAGCGAACGGGAUUAGAUACCCCGGUAGUCCAUGCCGUAAACGGUGCAUACUAGGUGUAGCGGGUAUCGACCCCUGCUGUGCC
This 782-nucleotide ribosomal RNA is filed under the name uncultured Bacillota bacterium. Its description in RNAcentral is "bacterial SSU rRNA". It matches the Rfam family "Bacterial small subunit ribosomal RNA", at positions 74 to 847 of the family's 1533-position model. Lineage: Bacteria; Bacillati; Bacillota. The record is from RNAcentral.